Molecule: unclassified non-coding RNA, 603 nt
Filed under: Hevea brasiliensis (rubber tree)
Lineage: Eukaryota; Viridiplantae; Streptophyta; Magnoliopsida; Malpighiales; Euphorbiaceae
Source: RNAcentral
ACAUAUACACCCGACGCGAUCCAACAUCAAUAAGUGAAGACCCCUACGCAGCCAUGUUCAUGUUUUUCUACGGCGUGGCUGUCAAAAUAGACUCGUAAGAAGAAAAGCUUACUUCUUCACUUCAUUUCUCUCUCCGUCGCCAUAUGGAGGCUCUCCGUCUAACGCCGUCGCAGGCGCCCCCCCUCCGCCCUAACCGCCGCUCCAAAUUGACUCCACACACCUUCCCUGGAUCCCACAAGAAUCCCAUCAAGCCGUUUAUCAAUGCCACCCUCUCUAAACCGGCGGCGGAGGUCCCUCCGUUGCCUACGCCAUCGCCUGCAUGUUCGUCGCCGACAUCUUCCUCCACAAGCACCGUUUCGAAUACUCCAAAGAGGGUUUCUCCCAAUUCUCCCCAGUCCCCGCCCGGUUACGUAGGAGCCGUACCUGACCGUACGGUUCAUGACAGGACUAGUGACAUUAUAAACGCCAUGGGUUACUUGACGAAUAUAUUGUCUUCUAAGGUUUAUGACGUUGCGAUUGAAUCUCCCAUGCAGUUCGCUUCUAAGCUGUCGGACAGAUUGGGUGUCAAGUUUUGGCUCAAGCGAGAGGACUUGCAGCCGGUUU